AUGGAUUUAGACAAAAAAAAUGAAAGUCUUGAUGAGGACUUUUUCAAGGACUACAAACCCACAGAAAAUGAUCUGCUCACUCCACCCAAGCAUAUCAUUUAUCUGCUGCUGGCUGUGAGCGUGACAGGAGUAACCCUUUUCGCCAUCAUAAGACACCUCAUCCAAGAUCUCAUCCAUGAUCUGGCAGAUUUCCUGUUUGGAGAGCAGCCUGUGGAAGAGCCGGAGACUCUCUGGGAAAGGCGGGAUAAGUUUAGGGCAGACUGGAUUCCUAAGGCAAUGCCUGAGCUGGAGGCCAUGGUGAGAGAUGAGGAUAUACAAGAACUCAUGGAGGGCACUCAAGACUUGCCAGCCAUCUGGGUUAUAUCGGACAAGUUUCAGCCUCGUGCUCCUUCCUCCAUUCAAAUAGAUGUUAGUGGCAGCUAGCAUGAAAUAAGUACAAGACUCUUCUCCUCUUAAUGCUAACACUGAUAUACUUAAAUAUUUUUAAAACUAACACCCAAGAAUCCAUUAUGUUAACUAUGUGCACACAGCUUGUUCUUCCUUUUCUUCUAAAAGACUUCAUGAAAUUAAAAUUAUUAUGAAAAUGGCAUAGCCUACUUACUUUUGAAACAGGAAAUUGGAAUGUAUCAAAUGGAAGAUGAAUUGAAGACAAUUUGCUAGUCAGCAGCAUGUGGUCUUAGAGGACAGGAAAUGAUCCCUCCAGAGAGAAUCUGAUUGGACAAAAAAAUCAUCUAUCUAGUGCAAGAUGAGUUCUGGUUAUUUUUCUCUGUUUUCCUCAGAAGAGAAAGACUUUAUUUUUUAAUGUGUAUAUCUGCUCAAAGUGAAUUUUUUCAACAUUUGCGAGAGCAGUUGGACAGAGAUUACCUCAAAGCAAACGCACAUGGUCUAAAUGAAACAAAACUCUAAAUCUGAAUAAGGUGUUUGCAUUUUUUAUGAUUUUUUUUUUUUGACAUACUGUUGCACUUUAUCUAUGCACUAUAUCAAUUCAAUAGACAGUUUUGUGUCUAUGAGUCCUUACAGAAGUUUAAACUGGCAUGACCUUCUGUUCUAAUAAAUCUUUUGUCUUUACAACA
Cyprinus carpio (common carp) is the source of this 1073-nucleotide long non-coding RNA. The record is from Ensembl. Lineage: Eukaryota; Metazoa; Chordata; Actinopteri; Cypriniformes; Cyprinidae.